GUCAGGGAUGCUGGCAAACAUCCUGCAAGGCCCAGGACAGCCCCCACAACAAAGAAUUAUCAAAAUAUCAAUAGUGCUGAGGCUGAGAAACCCUGAUCCAGUCUCUAAAACAUCUGCCCAAUGAGACGCUCCAAAAAUGUGAGGAAAUGUCUCUUUUUAUAAGCCGUAAUGCCUCUGGGUCCAGCUAGGGUGGCUACAAGUAGACAGGAGUGAGAUUUAAAUAGAAGCGAGACUCCCAACAAGGAAGCACCGUGUCACAUGUCCACCACCACGUGAAUAUUCAAAAGCUGUUUACACUGUGGCAGAAAAAGAGAGAGAAAUUUGCGUAAAGUCACAAAAGGGCUUUCUGGGUGCAAUCAAUGUAUCUUUUCAUCAUCUCUCCCAUGUUGCAUCAUUACAAAGGAGACUCGGGCUCUGCUCUUAUCUCUGCCAACGACAGCAGCAGCAGUAUCAACAUCAGCCACCAUUUACUGAACACUUCUUAUGAACCAGGCAUGGCAUAACCUGUGCCACUGAAAGUGCAUCUGCAGAUCGGCUGGUUUGUAAAAUGGUACCCGUUGGUGAGAGAAGGAGCUUGUGGAAGAAUGCAAAUCAACCACAUCACCAGGCCACUGUUUAGUUCAGCUGAUACCUAUAUACAUUUAUGUCUGUAUAAUACAGAUACAAUAUAAAUAUAUACACAAUAAAUAGAUAUUACAUUA
Equus caballus (horse) is the source of this 701-nucleotide non-coding RNA. The record is from RefSeq and is a predicted model, not a curated record. Lineage: Eukaryota; Metazoa; Chordata; Mammalia; Perissodactyla; Equidae.